UACGUAGGCAGCGAGCGUUGUUCGGAAUUACUGGGCGUAAAGAGUGUGUAGGCGGUGUUCCCAGUCUGUUGUGAAAUCUCCCGGCUUAACUGGGAGGGUGCAGCGGAAACUAGAAUGCUAGAGGGUGGGAGAGGUAAGCGGAAUUCCUGGUGUAGCGGUGAAAUGCGUAGAGAUCCGGAAGAACACCGGUGGCGAAGGCGGUCUGCUGGGCAGUUGCUGACACUGAGGCGCGACAGCGUGGGGAGCAAACAGG
Molecule: ribosomal RNA, 253 nt
Filed under: uncultured bacterium
Lineage: Bacteria
Description: partial 16S ribosomal RNA
Rfam family: Bacterial small subunit ribosomal RNA
Source: RNAcentral